CUGAAAUGAUAGUUGCCAAGGUUGUAGGCUCUCUAUUACUAGUCCUCUCUUUGAGGAGACCUGUAUUAAAAUUAACUGUAAGUACAGUGGCGCUAGCUGCAAACAAGGUGUUUUUUGAUUGAAGCAUCUUAUUUAAUGGUUACUAAGAUAGUAGUGGUGAGCGAAACCUUAGGUAUACAGAAACCAUUUAGGUCAGUAACUUAGUGUUUUUAGUAGAGAGACCCAUAGAGAUUAGUACUGUGAAGGAAACACCUUAAAAACAGUAAUCAACUAAUAAUUUUUAUACCUUUUGUAUUAGGGGACGAUAAUCAAGUCUUAGCAUAUACCAUAUAAUUUAAUUUUAAGAAAGAGCUAAGGUUCCCGAAACUAAGUGAUCUAGCCCUGGACAGUAGCUGAACUAACCGGUGUAUGUGGCAUAAUGCUCGGAAGAUCUGGGGUUAGAGGUGAAACUCUAGUCGUACUUAGAAAUAUCUGGUUCUCUACGAAAUUUAUAUAGUAAAGUCUUCCAUUUAGUGAGAAACCUCUAAUUCUAAGGUAUCCCCCAUAUUUGGUAGGAGACAGCAUAUAAGCGACAAGGUUUAUAUGCUAUAGAGCAACAACUCUCAAUAGUAGUUAAAGUAGAUAGAUAGUUAAUUAUACAUAACCUAGGUAGGCUUGGGAUCAGCCACCCUAUAAUAACAUCGCAACAGAUUAGGUUAAUUAUAGACUACUAGUAAUUUUGUUUAUCUGUUGAAACUUAUUAGUUAGUAGAGCUAAACCACAAAUAAUAGAGAGAUCUGGUGGUUGGAGAUAAGAUCGUUAUAAGUAGAGUGGCACUAGUUUUAAAAUUCAGCCCCUAAAAAGCGAUGGGGAGAAAGCAAACAAUCAUUACCCAGGAAAAAUUGCUUUUUAUAACUGUAUCUAUAGUGGUUUAUAUAAUGAGUUAAGUGUAAUUAAGGAACUCGGCAAACUGCUUAGUAGCAGUAGGAAGGCUGACUGUUUACCAAAAACAUAGCCAACUGCUAAAACAAUUAAAGUAUAGUUGGUGAAGCCUGCCCACUGAUUUAUGCUAAUAACAUAAGUUCAAGGGCCGCGGUAACUCUGACCGUGCUAAGGUAGCAUAAUCAAUUGCCACGUAAUUUGUGGCUAGUAUGAAAGGUUUUACAAGCUUUCCUCUGUCUCAAUUACACACUUAUCGAAAUUUAAAUAGCUGUGAAGAUUCAGCUUCUUUCUGGUAGGACGAGAAGACCCCGUUGAGCUUAACUUUAAGCCCUAGCAUUUUUAAUAUUAGAAAAAUAUGUGAUGUUAUUGGGCAGGUAAGUUUGGUUGGGGCGACCACCUAAAUAUAAGUAACUUAGGUAAGCUAAGGUUAAAUAUUAAUAUAGUAAGCUUGACUGUAGGACCUAUAGGUCUAUCAGAUAGUAAUACUAAGCUAUAGUGACCCUGUUAGUAUUCUAACAGCAAUUAGAUAAAAGUUACCACGGGGAUAACAGGGUUAUCUAGUAACAAAGUCCAUAUUGAAGACUAGGUUUGCCACCUCGAUGUUGAAUAGCAGUAUCCUAGGGGUGCAGCAGCUCCUGAUGGUUGGUCUGUUCGACCAUUAAAACUGUACUUGAUUUGAGUUCAUUCCGUUGUAAGACAGGAAGGUUUCUAUCCACCAGGAUUAUACCAGUUAAAGGUAAAGGUAUAACAGUACGAAAGGAACAAUAUACCGAACUGAGAUUAACAAUAACAAACAUUUAAAGCUAUGACAGAAACUAAUAGCCAGCUCUAUUACCUACUGAUAGAAUCCCCCCUCAUCUUUACGAUGGGGGGGGUUCGUAGUUGUUAAAUA
This 1813-nucleotide ribosomal RNA is filed under the name Chiropsalmus quadrumanus. Its description in RNAcentral is "large subunit ribosomal RNA". The stretch from base 235 to 1677 matches the Rfam family "Bacterial large subunit ribosomal RNA". The record is from RNAcentral. Lineage: Eukaryota; Metazoa; Cnidaria; Cubozoa; Chirodropida; Chiropsalmidae.